Molecule: non-coding RNA, 2217 nt
Organism: Callorhinus ursinus (northern fur seal)
Lineage: Eukaryota; Metazoa; Chordata; Mammalia; Carnivora; Otariidae
Source: RefSeq, a predicted model, not a curated record
CGAGCCCUCCGGCAGGAGGGGGACCUGCGUUUGCCCUGCAAGUCUCUGGUCCAGACAGUGGCCCGCGCAGCGGCAUUUUUGCACCUGGGCAGAAGGUCCAAGAGCAACAGCUCCCGUUUCAGGGCCGAGGCCUUACUGUCCGUUCAGUUUUCUCAAAAAUCCUCCCCAGCUGGUUUAAUUCCCGCCCGGGUUUCACAAACAAGGAAGCGGAGGUUAACAGCGCGCAUGAGGUGACGCCAGGUCAAGAGAAGCAGAAACCGGGACGGCCCCCGCGUCCCCGCCUCUGUCCUCUACGCCACUGCCUCGGCCGGGACCCCGCCCCGGCCCCCCGGCCCAGCCCCGCUUUCCUGGACUCUGCCGGCUGCUCCGGAUCCAGCAGAGUCUAUUCCAAUGUCUGUUGAACAAGAGUAAGAAGAUAAGAUUCAAAGCAAUUCCCCAGGAAUCUUCAGAUUCUAUCCACUGUGAGACACUACCAGGUAUUCAAAGAUGGUUGGCUGCCUUUCAUUCCUCUGAACUCCGUCCUUCCUUGGCAUGAUGGAGAAGGAAGAGGAACUCAAGACCCACCUAGUGCAGCAUCUUACAUCUAAUGAGCCUACCUAAAGGUUUGUCAAGUUUUGACGUGUGUGACUGAGCCAUGGAGUUGUCUAGUGGCUAGCAUUCUAGGUGAGAUGACAAAUAAUACCAGCUAACACAUACUGAGAACUUGCUGUGCAUCAGGCAUUUAUUCCAAGUGCUUUACCCAGGUGGUCUUGGCUACUGACAGCUCUCCCAGUCAUCCACUGAAACCCUGGGAAGUCCAAAGAGGUGAUAAGCACAGCCUUGCAAGUGAGACCGUCCUGGAAUUCUACCCACCACCACUGAGAAGCAGUUUGUACUCCCAGAAUCCUUCUGAGCCUCAGUUUUCUCAUCUGUAAAAUGGAAAGAAACCCACCCCUACAGGAUCGCAGUGAGGAUGAAACAUGGUAUAAAGGUCCUGGCUCUAGUGACACUUUCUAAAUGACUCGUUUUUAUAAAAAUCCUCUCGACUUUAAUUUGGCGCUAGGUUUUCUAUCAGCCGAUAAUAUUUAUUACACACUUAGUAGGUACGAAAGAGGUCUGAGGUCUAGGGUGACAGAUAAGACAGACACACCAUAGCAAACCGCAGGAUCAGGGACAAGGGGCGGAUUUCCAGCAGACAUCUGGAACAGGUGGAGAAUUUGAAUGGGGUGCACAUUGAGGACAAACAGCAGAGUGACUUCCCUUUUCCCAGCCAUGAAUUUGGGAUAUUCUUCUCUUUUCCUGCGUGGGCUUUUGUGUUCCUCACAGAAGAAACCUGUACUUCUGAGAAGCGGACAAGAGAAGGUCAGGCUGUUACUCACGAAACAAUGACUCAAAACCCUGAGUCUUUUCCGGAUUUACCUACUUUAAAAAAGAAACCCUUUGCCCCAUUCAGGGGAGCGGGAGCAGCGGUGGGAGAGGCCGCGGGGGGGUCCUGCGGCUUUCUGGCAAAGGCAGUGCGUGUGUGAGGAAACCCUGCCGGCCAGCCGCUGCCACCAGAAGGAACCAAAACAUGAUGAGAAACCCCAUUCGGCAGACCACGGAAAAGUCCUCUUUGUCGUUUGAAAUUUUUAUCUUGUUUGUGGCAAAUCUAAUGAUUCAGUAACGACCACAGCUGUGUGGGGGCCUACGAAUUUCCUCCGAGGCUUCUCCCCGCCCUUCCUAGCAGGAACAAAACCAGCUGGGGAGCCCGUCCUCCCGGCUCUUUCCAGCUUCUGCAAUGUGUUCGGGACGAGCAGCCGGCCCGAGAUUUUAUCAGACUUCUCAUGAAUCUAAUUCCGGGGGGAGGAAGCCAAGUCAAACUGGCUGUUUGGGUUCACGGACAAUGCGUUUCUGGGCAUGAAAUUCAGCUCUUUCUCUGCUGUUGAGGUCAGUCUGAAAGAGCCCAACGGUGUCUCAUUUUGGUCCUCACUAUGGUCAUGACAGAGCAUCCCAGAGAAGAUUCGGGGUUCCCGUACCCUGCCAAGGGAGGGCAGGUGGCAUCUGCCAGUGACCCGCUUUCUUGCCCCUGACUUGUCCCCUCGGUCAGUGUCUCCCUACUGUGUGCUCUGAACCCAGGAGCAGCAAACAGAAGGCGAGGCAAGCUGGUAUGCCAUGGUGGCCACCGCAGUGUGGUGUGGGGUGCUGACUGCGUGACAUCAGCACACAGCUGCCCGGAGGCCUGCAGCUGGUGUGGGUGUG